Non-coding RNA from Oscillibacter valericigenes Sjm18-20, 97 nucleotides. The record is from Rfam. Lineage: Bacteria; Bacillati; Bacillota; Clostridia; Eubacteriales; Oscillospiraceae.
GAGAGCCGGAUACAUUGAGAGGUGUAAGUCCGGUUCGGGGGCGGGUGCUUGGAAACCUGCCGCUGUGAAGCGGUAAGGCGCUGGGUACCCAGCCUAC